GGCUGGUAUGAAGGUAGUGAGUUAUUCGCAAUUGAUGGCUCACAGCCAGUGACAGACCAAGCUCUCUGUUCUAUUCUUUCCCCCGUCUCACUACUGUUCUUGUCUCUU
Cebus imitator (Panamanian white-faced capuchin) is the source of this 108-nucleotide unclassified non-coding RNA. It matches the Rfam family "Y RNA". Rfam says of the family: Y RNAs are components of the Ro ribonucleoprotein particle (Ro RNP), in association with Ro60 and La proteins. The Y RNAs and Ro60 and La proteins are well conserved, but the function of the Ro RNP is not known. Lineage: Eukaryota; Metazoa; Chordata; Mammalia; Primates; Cebidae. The record is from Ensembl.